CCUGGUUGCUAAGAUGGUAAAGAAUCUGCCUGCAAUGCAGGAGACCCAGGUUCAAUCCCUGGGCCAGAA
Molecule: transfer RNA, 69 nt
Filed under: Bos taurus (domestic cattle)
Lineage: Eukaryota; Metazoa; Chordata; Mammalia; Artiodactyla; Bovidae
Also listed under: 5 other names
Rfam family: tRNA
About the family: Transfer RNA (tRNA) molecules are approximately 80 nucleotides in length. Their secondary structure includes four short double-helical elements and three loops (D, anti-codon, and T loops).
Source: Rfam by way of RNAcentral